GAUGAACGCUGGCGGCGUGCCUAAUACAUGCAAGUCGAGCGAACAGACGAGGAGCUUGCUCCUUUGACGUUAGCGGCGGACGGGUGAGUAACACGUAGGUAACCUACCUAUAAGACUGGGAUAACUUCGGGAAACCGGAGCUAAUACCGGAUAAUAUUUCGAACCGCAUGGUUCAAUAGUGAAAGAUGGCCUUGCUAUCACUUAUAGAUGGACCUGCGCCGCAUUAGCUAGUUGGUAAGGUAACGGCUUACCAAGGCAACGAUACGUAGCCGACCUGAGAGGGUGAUCGGCCACACUGGAACUGAGACACGGUCCAGACUCCUAAGGGAGGCAGCAGUAGGGAAUCUUCCGCAAUGGGCGAAAGCCUGACGGAGCAACGCCGCGUGAGUGAUGAAGGUCUUCGGAUCGUAAAACUCUGUUAUUAGGGAAGAACAAACGUGUAAGUAACUGUGCACGUCUUGACGGUACCUAAUCAGAAAGCCACGGCUAACUACGUG
RNAcentral lists this ribosomal RNA (497 nucleotides) under uncultured bacterium. Its description in RNAcentral is "partial 16S ribosomal RNA". It matches the Rfam family "Bacterial small subunit ribosomal RNA", at positions 28 to 507 of the family's 1533-position model. The record is from RNAcentral.